UGCAGAUAGCUCUGUUUGUUUCCUCCGGUGAUGCUGUGCAGUCGGGUUGGCUUUUAACAUUCCUCAAAUGCACAAAUCAGAGAAAUGUGAAUGCAUCUAGUUAAGGUCCUCAAUUUCUCCAUCUUAACGUAGAAGUAAAGCUAUACCUCCUCCAUCCCUUCCUCUCUAGCGGUUGCAUUAGCAGUUAUCAUGGAUCCUUUUGGAUGUACCAAAUUUGAGCGCAAGCUUGAAGAUGACGAAGUUUGUGGGAAUAAAGAAGAAUUAGGUUCCCAUGCAAAUGACCCUAUUCAAAGUUUAACCAAGAAUGAUGUUCUUGAAAUGCAAUUCAAUUCAGAAGAGGAUGCCAAUGAUUUCUAUAAUCAAUAUGCUAAAGUUGUGGGAUUUAGCAUUAGGAAAGACACGCGAACAAUGCAGGCAACAAAGGUUCUUAGUAGAAAAUGGGUAUGC
Non-coding RNA from Camellia sinensis, 447 nucleotides. Lineage: Eukaryota; Viridiplantae; Streptophyta; Magnoliopsida; Ericales; Theaceae. The record is from RefSeq and is a predicted model, not a curated record.